UACGGAGGAUGCAAGCGUUAUCCGGAAUGAUUGGGCGUAAAGCGUCCGCAGGUGGCUGUGUAAGUCUGCUGUUAAAGAGUCUAGCUCAACUAGAUAAGAGCAGUGGAAACUACACGGCUAGAGUACGUUCGGGGCAGAGGGAAUUCCUGGUGUAGCGGUGAAAUGCGUAGAGAUCAGGAAGAACACCGGUGGCGAAGGCGCUCUGCUAGGCCGUAACUGACACUGAGAGACGAAAGCUAGGGGAGCGAAAAGG
This 253-nucleotide ribosomal RNA is filed under the name uncultured bacterium. RNAcentral describes it as "partial 16S ribosomal RNA". It matches the Rfam family "Bacterial small subunit ribosomal RNA", at positions 524 to 776 of the family's 1533-position model. The record is from RNAcentral.